RNAcentral lists this ribosomal RNA (394 nucleotides) under uncultured bacterium. Its description in RNAcentral is "bacterial SSU rRNA". It matches the Rfam family "Bacterial small subunit ribosomal RNA", at positions 28 to 428 of the family's 1533-position model. The record is from RNAcentral.
GACGAACGCUGGCGGCGUGCUUAACACAUGCAAGUCGAGCGGUAAGGCCUUUCGGGGUACACGAGCGGCGAACGGGUGAGUAACACGUGGGUGAUCUGCCCUGCACUUCGGGAUAAGCCUGGGAAACUGGGUCUAAUACCGGAUAUGACCUCCUAUCGCAUGGUGGGUGGUGGAAAGAUUUAUCGGUGCAGGAUGGGCCCGCGGCCUAUCAGCUUGUUGGUGGGGUAAUGGCCUACCAAGGCGACGACGGGUAGCCGACCUGAGAGGGUGACCGGCCACACUGGGACUGAGACACGGCCCAGACUCCUACGGGAGGCAGCAGUGGGGAAUAUUGCACAAUGGGCGAAAGCCUGAUGCAGCGACGCCGCGUGAGGGAUGACGGCCUCGGUUGUAA